Molecule: transfer RNA, 74 nt
Filed under: Enterococcus faecium
Lineage: Bacteria; Bacillati; Bacillota; Bacilli; Lactobacillales; Enterococcaceae
Description: tRNA-Pro
Rfam family: tRNA
About the family: Transfer RNA (tRNA) molecules are approximately 80 nucleotides in length. Their secondary structure includes four short double-helical elements and three loops (D, anti-codon, and T loops).
Source: RNAcentral
CGGGAAGUAGCUCAGCUUGGUAGAGCACUUGGUUUGGGACCAAGGGGACGCAGGUUCGAAUCCUGUCUUCCCGA